GCUGGGUAGCUCAGUCAGUGGAGCAUGAAACUCUUAAUCCCAGGGGAAUGGGUUCGAGCCCCAUGAUGAGUG
Molecule: non-coding RNA, 72 nt
Organism: Podarcis lilfordi (Lilford's wall lizard)
Lineage: Eukaryota; Metazoa; Chordata; Lepidosauria; Squamata; Lacertidae
Source: the annotation of a GenBank genome assembly